This 73-nucleotide transfer RNA is filed under the name Actinomycetota bacterium. Its description in RNAcentral is "tRNA-Ala". It matches the Rfam family "tRNA". From Rfam's summary of the family: Transfer RNA (tRNA) molecules are approximately 80 nucleotides in length. Their secondary structure includes four short double-helical elements and three loops (D, anti-codon, and T loops). The record is from RNAcentral. Lineage: Bacteria; Bacillati; Actinomycetota.
GGGGCUAUAGCUCAGUUGGUAGAGCGCUUGCAUGGCAUGCAAGAGGUCACGGGUUCGAUUCCCGUUAGCUCCA